CAACAUGUUCCAGGUUUUCUUGCAUGCGUUUGUAGCACUGUAAUAUUAUUUAAUGUACCCAAGCAAGCAAGCAAGCAAAAAGCAACCAGUCAUAAUAAGCUCUUUUACAUUCUCAAGAUCUCUCCAUUAUGACUUUUGCAUUUUCCCCAUUAUACACUCUAGGCAUUGAAGAAACAAUCACGUUGUAAAGAACAAGCUGCAGUGCAAUAUUAUUUUCCUCCCACUAUGACAAUACCCCCAUUGCUGGAAGCAUCUUCGUUUUCUCUUCCUAGCUCAUCAGCUGUACCUGCCUGUCCCUUGGCUGCUCUUGGAGGCUUUUGCAGAACUGUGGCAGGUGCAGCACCGAGGGGCAAGGGAUGUGGCAAAGCCCCAUCUGUGUGCUGCAGCACCUGCCUGUGUAAGAAAAGGCUCCUGCACCAGACUCUCUGCGGUUGGGCUGUGAUUCUCUCAUCACUGCAGAGGACGAGAAGGGUGAAGUGA
This 480-nucleotide long non-coding RNA is filed under the name Fukomys damarensis (Damara mole-rat). RNAcentral's name for it is "lncRNA (ENSFDAG00000024808.1)". Lineage: Eukaryota; Metazoa; Chordata; Mammalia; Rodentia; Bathyergidae. The record is from RNAcentral.